This 449-nucleotide ribosomal RNA is filed under the name uncultured Anaerolineaceae bacterium. Its description in RNAcentral is "bacterial SSU rRNA". It matches the Rfam family "Bacterial small subunit ribosomal RNA", at positions 923 to 1382 of the family's 1533-position model. The record is from RNAcentral. Lineage: Bacteria; Bacillati; Chloroflexota; Anaerolineae; Anaerolineales; Anaerolineaceae.
GCACAAGCAGCGGAGCGUGUGGUUUAAUUCGAUUGUUACACGAAGAACCUUACCAGGGUUUUGACAUGCAAGUGGUAGGAAGCCGAAAGGUGACCCGACCCUUCGGGGAGCUUGCACAGGUGCUGCAUGGCUGUCGUCAGCUCGUGUCGUGAGAUGUUCGGUUAAGUCCGCUAACGAGCGCAACCCUCGCUGUGUGUUAUAUGUGUCACACGGGACUGCCGGUCUUAAGCCGGAGGAAGGUGGGGAUGAUGUCAAGUCAGCAUGGCCUUUAUAUCCAGGGCUACACACACGCUACAAUGGUCUGUACAAUGGGUAGCCAAGCCGCGAGGCGGAGCCAAUCCUGAAAGCAGGCCUCAGUUCAGAUUGCAGUCUGCAACUCGACUGCAUGAAGCCGGAGUUGCUAGUAACCGCAGGUCAGCAAUACUGCGGUGAAUACGUUCCCGGGUCUU